Bacillus anthracis str. 'Ames Ancestor' is the source of this 88-nucleotide transfer RNA. It matches the Rfam family "tRNA". Rfam says of the family: Transfer RNA (tRNA) molecules are approximately 80 nucleotides in length. Their secondary structure includes four short double-helical elements and three loops (D, anti-codon, and T loops). Further hydrogen bonds mediate the characteristic L-shaped molecular structure. tRNAs have two regions of fundamental functional importance: the anti-codon, which is responsible for specific mRNA codon recognition, and the 3' end, to which the tRNAs corresponding amino acid is attached (by aminoacyl-tRNA synthetases). tRNAs cope with the degeneracy of the genetic code in two manners: having more than one tRNA (with a specific anti-codon) for a particular amino acid; and 'wobble' base-pairing, i.e. permitting non-standard base-pairing at the 3rd anti-codon position. NCBI's taxonomy places the organism in Bacteria, Bacillati, Bacillota, Bacilli, Caryophanales, Bacillaceae. The record is from Rfam.
AGAGAAGUACCCAAGUGGCUCAAGGGGCUCCCCUGCUAAGGGAGUAGAUCGCGAACGCGGUGCGAGGGUUCGAAUCCCUUCUUCUCUG